CGCCGAGAGCCUCCCCUCCCCUCUUAUAGUCGCAGGAUGCUAAAAUCUAGGGGGAGCAAUGAUUGAGACGCGGAUUGCAGGCUGGGAUUGAUUGCGGACACUGGAAUCUAGGGGAAGAAUCACGGGCGGCUGAUCAUGAACGGAUGCUGGAACUCGGACGACGAAGCUGGAUUUCCUUCUUUGGGCCACGGAGGGAUGGGAGCACUGGGAGGUUGGAAUGGAAGGGUGGAUCACGGCUUGAUUGUUGGGAGGAACGCACGGCACGGCUGAUUGGAGACGCUUGGGAUGAGAUGCAGAAGAGGCGGUCAUCCG
This 312-nucleotide long non-coding RNA is filed under the name Phoenix dactylifera (date palm). RNAcentral describes it as "long non-coding RNA (PDAC_LNC008583)". The record is from RNAcentral. Lineage: Eukaryota; Viridiplantae; Streptophyta; Magnoliopsida; Arecales; Arecaceae.